This 201-nucleotide ribosomal RNA is filed under the name uncultured bacterium. Its description in RNAcentral is "partial 16S ribosomal RNA". It matches the Rfam family "Bacterial small subunit ribosomal RNA", at positions 1300 to 1500 of the family's 1533-position model. The record is from RNAcentral.
GCAGGCUGCAACCCGCCUGCAUGAAGCCGGAAUCGCUAGUAAUCGCGGAUCAGAAUGCCGCGGUGAAUACGUUCCCGGGUCUUGUACACACCGCCCGUCACACCAUGGGAGUCGGGAAUGCCCGAAGUCAGUGGCCCAACCGGAAGGGGGGAGCUGCCGAAGGCAGGCCCGGUGACUGGGGUGAAGUCGUAACAAGGUAGC